RNAcentral lists this ribosomal RNA (482 nucleotides) under uncultured bacterium. RNAcentral describes it as "partial 16S ribosomal RNA". It matches the Rfam family "Bacterial small subunit ribosomal RNA", at positions 30 to 507 of the family's 1533-position model. The record is from RNAcentral.
AUUGAACGCUGGCGGCAUGCUUUACACAUGCAAGUCGAACGGUAACAGCACUUCGGUGGCUGACGAGUGGCGAACGGGUUAGUAAUACAUCGGAACGUGCCUAGUAGUGGGGGAUAACUACUCGAAAGAGUAGCUAAUACCGCAUGAGAUCUAAGGAUGAAAGCAGGGGACCUUCGGGCCUUGCGCUACUAGAGCGGCUGAUGGCAGAUUAGGUAGUUGGUGGGAUAAAAGCUUACCAAGCCGACGAUCUGUAGCUGGUCUGAGAGGACGACCAGCCACACUGGGACUGAGACACGGCCCAGACUCCUACGGGAGGCAGCAGUGGGGAAUUUUGGACAAUGGGCGCAAGCCUGAUCCAGCAAUGCCGCGUGCAGGAUGAAGGCCUUCGGGUUGUAAACUGCUUUUGUACGGAACGAAAAGCCCUCUUCUAAUACAGGAGGGUCAUGACGGUACCGUAAGAAUAAGCACCGGCUAACUACGUG